ACCCCACACUGAGUGGGGUC
This 20-nucleotide unclassified non-coding RNA is filed under the name Mus musculus (house mouse). RNAcentral's name for it is "oocyte_clustered_small_RNA8312". Lineage: Eukaryota; Metazoa; Chordata; Mammalia; Rodentia; Muridae. The record is from RNAcentral.